Molecule: ribosomal RNA, 441 nt
Filed under: uncultured bacterium
Lineage: Bacteria
Description: bacterial SSU rRNA
Rfam family: Bacterial small subunit ribosomal RNA
Source: RNAcentral
UCUAACAUAGGCCAUGGAUGACGGUACCGGACUAAGAAGCACCGGCUAACUACGUGCCAGCAGCCGCGGUAAUACGUAGGGUGCGAGCGUUAAUCGGAAUUACUGGGCGUAAAGCGUGCGCAGGCGGUUUUGUAAGACAGAUGUGAAAUCCCCGGGCUUAACCUGGGAACUGCGUUUGUGACUGCAAGGCUAGAGUACGGCAGAGGGGGGGUGGAAUUCCUGGUGUAGCAGUGAAAUGCGUAGAGAUCAGGAGGAACACCGAUGGCGAAGGCAGCCCCCCUGGGCCUGUACUGACGCUCAUGCACGAAAGCGUGGGGAGCAAACAGGAUUAGAUACCCUGGUAGUCCACGCCCUAAACGAUGUCGACUAGUCGUUCGGAGCAGCAAUGCACUGAGUGACGCAGCUAACGCGUGAAGUCGACCGCCUGGGGAGUACGGCCGC